GGUUCGAUUCUGUCAGAUUGAACGCUGGCGGGAUGCUUUACACAUGCAAGUCGAACGGCAGCACGGACUUCGGUCUGGUGGCGAGUGGCGAACGGGUGAGUAAUGUAUCGGAACGUGCCUAAUGUGAGGGGAUAACUACGUUUGCGAAAGCGUAGCUUCAUGCGCCCUUCGGGGGAAAGCGGGGGACCUUCGGGUCGCACUAUUAGAGCGGCCGAUAUCAGUUAGCUAGUUAGUUGGUGGGGUAACGGCUCACCAAGGCGACGAUCGUAGCUGGUUUGAGAGGACGACCAGCCACUGGGACUGGGAACUGGCCCAGACUCCACAGGAGGCAGCAGUGGGAAUUUUGGACGAUGGGGGAAACCUGAUCCAGCCAUCCCCGCGUGUGCGAUGAAGGCCUUCAGGUUGUAAAGCACUUUUGGCAGGAAAGAAACGGCUGCGGGAUAGCACCCGUGCAACUGACAGUACCUGCAGAAUAAGCACCGGCCCCAACUACGUGCCAGCAGCCGCGGUAAUACGUAGGGUGCAAGCGUUAAUCGGAAUUACUGGGCGUAAAGCGUGCGCAGGCGGUUCGGAAAAGAAAGAUGUGAAAUCCACGACCGCUUUGGAACUGCAUUUUUAACUACCGAGCUAGAGUGUGUCAGAGGGAGGUGGAAUUCCAUUAAUAACAGUGAAAUGCGUAGAUAUGCGGAGGGCGCGAUGGCGACCUCCUGGGACACUUUCCUGACGCUCAUGCACGAAAGCGUGGGAGCAAGCAGGAUUAGAUACCCUGGUGAUCCCGCCCUAAACGAUGUCAACUAGCUGUUGGGGCCUUCGGGCCUUGGUAGCGCAGCUAACGCGUGAAGUUGACCGCCUGGGAGUACGGUCAUAGUUAAAACUCAAAGGAAUUGACGGGGACCCGCACAAGCGGUGGAUGAUGGAUUAAUUCGAUGCAACGCGAAAAACCUUUUCCCUUGACAUGUGGAAUCCCGAAGAGAUUUGGGAGUGCUCGCAAGAGAACCGGAACACAGGUGCUGCAUAGCUGUCGUCAGCUCGUGUCGUGAGAUGUUGGGUUAAGUCCCGCAACGAGCGCAACCCUUGUCAUUGGUUGCUACGAAGGGCACUCUAAUGAGACUGCCGGUGACAAACCGGAGGAAGGUGGGGAUGACGUCAAGUCCUCAUGGCCCUUAUGGGUAGGGCUUCACACGUCAUACAAUGGUCGGGACAGAGGGUCGCCAACCCGCGAGGGAAGACCAAUCCCAGAAACCCGAUCGUAGUCCGGAUCGCAGUCACCCGCAACUCGACGCUGCGUGAAGUCGGAAUCGCUAGUAAUCGCGGAUCAGCAUGUCGCGGUGAAUACGUUCCCGGGUCUUGUACACACCGCCCGUCACACCAUGGGAGUGGGUUUUACCAAGUAGUUAGCCUAACCGUAAGGAGGGCGAUUACCACGGUAGGAUUCAUGACUGGGGUGAAGUCAUGUCAUUAG
RNAcentral lists this ribosomal RNA (1462 nucleotides) under uncultured Bordetella sp. RNAcentral's name for it is "partial 16S-23S ribosomal RNA intergenic spacer". It matches the Rfam family "Bacterial small subunit ribosomal RNA". The record is from RNAcentral. Lineage: Bacteria; Pseudomonadati; Pseudomonadota; Betaproteobacteria; Burkholderiales; Alcaligenaceae.